UAAAGUGCAAUAUUCCACGUAUCAAUAGCUUCAUCGAAAGCGUUGCAUCAUAACAGACCGUCAGGCGCCCGGAUACUACUUUGGUCCAAUCCACAGUCCAUUGAUUUUUCUCGUUUAUUUAUACAAUAUUAAAAAUGGUUACCUCUCUCAUGAAUAAGUUUAGAUUGGGUCAUAUAAAAACACGGCCGCCUCCUCCAGAAAUAAUAAUUUUAACCUGAAUUUAAUUGAAGUUUUCUGCGAAUAUACAGGGUGGUUGGUAACUGGUGGUACAGGCGGAAAGGGGGUGAUUCUACGCGAAAAAAGAAGUCGAAAAUAUAGAAUAAAAAUUUUUCGUUUGAGACUUUGUUUUCAAGAAAAUCGACUUUGAAUUUUCGCUCGGUAC
RNAcentral lists this unclassified non-coding RNA (382 nucleotides) under Bombus terrestris (buff-tailed bumblebee). RNAcentral describes it as "misc RNA ENSBTSG00005033777.1". The record is from RNAcentral. Lineage: Eukaryota; Metazoa; Arthropoda; Insecta; Hymenoptera; Apidae.